Molecule: non-coding RNA, 393 nt
Organism: Delphinapterus leucas (beluga whale)
Lineage: Eukaryota; Metazoa; Chordata; Mammalia; Artiodactyla; Monodontidae
Source: RefSeq, a predicted model, not a curated record
GUAUGCAGUUGCAUUUCUCAGUAUAGACAGAAUUUCAUACCCACGCAGGGUAAGGGAAGAGGACAUGAUAAACGUGUGAAAUCCUUUUGAAUUUGAAAAGUGACAAUAGAGCUUGCUACCAAGAUAUUUAAUCAUCUGAGGGAGAAGCCAAGAGAAGCUUAGGUGAAUAACUACUCAAAUUAUUCUUCCAAGAAGAGGAAAGGUCACCUUGAAGUGAAGAAGAAAAUGAAACUGAGUAAGAAGACAUAAAGUAGAAGAGAAGGAAAGGAAAGAGUCUUCUUUGCAGCUUUUCCAUCAUGGUGGACUUAAGAUACUUGGUUUCUGUGGCUUGAAAGUUCAGAAGGGAUUUUUAGGAGUACAAUUGAAAAUACAGGAUAUCCAUUGAAGAGUGUC